Molecule: long non-coding RNA, 5204 nt
Organism: Taeniopygia guttata (zebra finch)
Lineage: Eukaryota; Metazoa; Chordata; Aves; Passeriformes; Estrildidae
Source: Ensembl
UGCAUAGUUAAGUUCUACAGAGACUGGAGAAAAACAAAUUUACUUACCAACAUCUUGCAAUAUCUUUUUCUACUUUUUUUUUUUUUUUUUUUUUUUUUUUUACAUACAGCAGCUUCAACUGCUUUUUUAUUUUAGACAACAUAUCUUUUCAAUCCAGCCAGCCUGCAGUGGCAGAGUAUAUUUUAGGGAGCUGUACAGCCAUCUGGAAAGGUUUUAUUUUUUGUUAUGUUUAUCCUUUGCACUUUUCAGAUUUCUGUCAACGUCCAUGGUAACAGCUGCUAUGAUACUUUCCAUUCUUGUGUGGUUUGAGAACUGCACAAUCCAAUGUGGUUUGCAGUCUAGACUUCAAUCAACCACCAAUUUGUAAGACCAAUAGUGGGGGAGUGACUUUGGAGUGUAUUAUAAGCUGCCAUAAGUGCCAUUUCUGUGUCCUUUUAGCUUAUGGUUUAUUUCAAGGGUCGUUGAUCAGAAGACUAUGCAUUAGUUUUUCAUAUUCAUGUGUGCAUAUAUAUAUAUAUAUAUUUAUACAUAUAUAAAAUCCUGAAAAUUUUGACUUUUGAAUUACAGGUUUUGUGUUUGAUUUGUGAUUUGGGUUUUUUGUUGCUUGUUUUCGGUUUUGUUUUUUUGAUUUUUUUUUAUUUAUUUAUUUUAUUAUCCUUUAUACUCCUCUCAUCCACCCUGUAAAUUAAAUUACUUUCUUUGCUUGGGAGAGUGUAAACUCUGAAGUGUUCUGUUCAUGUAUGGCUCUAUUUUAUUUUUCAUGAACAGUAGUAACUUGCAUAUGUAUAACAUAAUUCAACUCACAGAAUUAAAAAAGGUGGUAUCACCUGCAGGUAAAGACAUAAUAACUGUUUCAACAACAAAACAAAAACCCUGUAAAAACAAUUGUAAAAGCGGUAAAUAAAUAUUUUUUCUAAAAAAAGUAACUAAAUCUGAGGGAAACAUUUGUGAAGAUGAAAUCUGAUCUGAAAUCUGAGUUGCCCUGAGUGUUAAAAGUAAAAAAGAAAAAAAUAUUACAGAUUGAUUGCAUAAUAUUUUGAAAAAAGUUCCCCAAACGUAUGUGGAAAUUACUGGAAAGAAAAAUAUUCCAAUAAUUUCCUAUCUUGAAUUCAGGAACCUUACGGUAUGUGACCUACAUUCAAUUACUUGCCAGACUUUUAGGUGCUUACAAAGCCCAGGGAGCAUCAGCAGCUGUGCCAGGGAUGUGUGCUGAGCCCAGAGCCACCCCAACACCCAAGAGCAAACACCGAGGUGGCACUGCUGCCUCAGCAGCUGCCUUCUGGGGGCUCAGCUCUUUAGAUCUAAAUUAAUCCUGUGCAUCUUCAGAGCCAUGCAAGGCAGAGCCUGUUCUAAUCUGGAAGCUGAUGCUCUGUUUGUGGCCAGUGGAGAAUAUGCAGGGAGAGAUUGAUCCUACCUUAAGAUCUGAACAACCAUUCAAGGUAAAAAACUGUAUAUUUAGAUCAUAGAAUUUUAAGGUUGGAAAAGCCUUUCAAGAUCAUUGAGUUCAACCAUUAACACAGCACCACUGUGCUCGCUAUUAAACCACAUCUCCAGGUGCCUUUAGAACACUCCAGAGAUGGUGAUUCCAACACUUCCCUGGGCACCCUGUUGCAAGGCCUGGGGUAUAAAAAAAUUUAAUUACUCUGUACUUGAAAUUCAGUGUUUCAUUUCCAUCUCCUAAAAUCAACUUUUGCACAAACAUCUAUCGCCUGGGACAUUAGGCUCAGAACACUAUCUGAGCAGCAAGGAUACAAAGAUUUCUCUUUCUUUCACAUGGCAAGUUUAGGAGAAAAAUAUAUUUCUGUGACUUAUUCAGAUUUUGCAGCAAUGGGCAAUGUAGAUACCUAAGCAAGGUCUUUACAUCAAAGAAAAACUGAGAGUCUCUAAUUGGAAUCUGCCUUACAGCUAAUGAGCUCUUCAGUUCACCAGUGAGGGCUUUACCCUUCCCUUUCACAACCUAAACAGAAAAGCCAAACUGUAGCCAGCAAAUUUUCAUGAUCUUAUUCUACCUCUGUAUCACAAGGCCAGGGUAGUGCCUCUGAAAAAUCACAUGGGUAUAUGAAGCCAAAUCCUCCUUAAAGCACUUAUAUUUAUGCAAAGUUUGACUGGUCUUAAGGAAUAAGAGAGGGGGAAAAAAAAGCCCUGUGAAUUUAUACCCAGUAGAGUGUGCUGAACUGUAGGCCCAGCAACGUCAGCAUAUCAGGAAAAACAACUCUCGGGAAUUCUUAACAUCAUCGAGCAGAGAGAAAUUUUGUAUAUGAUGUAAAUAUUGGACUUCCUGUCUUUCUAUAUUGUUACUGUUAACUUCUUUACUUUUUAAGCUGUGUGGUAUGGUACGUGUCAGUCUCUGUUGUACCUGAAAGUUCCUAUAAGCAAACAGAAUUAUGAUAAAUCUCUUGAGUUUCCCUGAGGCAUUUUUGCUGCUGCUGGAAACCUGAGGUCAGUGUGCAGUCAGUCCUGCAAACAUCCCCCUUGACUAUCAACUAGGACAGCAAUGAGUCAGGAUGCUGUGACACUGGAAUGCUUUAAUAAAAAACUCACAAUACAGAGCUUUGGGAAUCAGCAUCUUUAGGAAGUGUAAAAAAUCUUUUUGUUUCUUCUAAGGAUCAGGGAAAAAAAAUCAUGUCUAUCAAACCAUCAAAUGUGCAGAAGAAAUUGUCCCUGAGCAUACUCUGUAAGUUCACAGACACAUCUGGCAGCGAGAGUCCUGCUACUUUAUCGUGACCCACUGACAAUUCACACUAAGGUGCCUGCCUCCUUCAAGGCUCAAGCUACAAGGAAAAUAAUUUCCAGUUUGAAUUAAAUAGACAAAUUAAUAAAAUUGGAUAUUGUUUUUUCACUUUAGAGGCUAGAGGUCAGACUCAAACAGACUAACACCCAAAAAUGACACACCAAGAUUUAGUGUUAUGGUUCAGAAAAUCUGAGUUAUCCAUCCUGGGCUCUUAAUGCAGAGCUGCUUCCAAGGGAGCCCUCAUAGCCUGUAUUCCCACUGUGGAGCAGGGCAGCAACUGAGUAAUUGUCCUGCCCAGCUCAGGGCUGUAUGCUAAAGGUAGGAUACAACCACCCUAACUUAAAGCAUCUAAGGAGGUUUUCUGUCUCUAAACUACCUCUAUGGUCCACACACAAAAGAAAAACAGUUAAAGCACCUCCCAGGACACCUAUUCCAAGAGAUGAAGUACUUCCCUAGAUGUGCUUGUCUCCACUGGCUGAGAAGAUAACUUUUGAAUGAGCCUGUUUCAGGGAGAUGAAAGUCAUCAUAGCUGGCUUAGCCCAUUUCCCAUUUCCCAAUUUCAUAUAUCAAGAUAUAUAAGUUAAUACAGAAGCAUAGUACUGUAAGAAAGAUGACACUUUUUUGCACUGAAUGGACCAUUAUGAGUAUUACUAAAGUUCCUAUUUGCCUAUUAAUUUAUCUGUGUCUGGUUAUUUAUUUUUAAUGUGAAGCAAAAGAAACAGCCUGUGUUUUCUCAGUUGUCAGUUAAAUUCUUCUGUAUUUCUCAAAGUAUGUCACCCUAAGAGAAAUACUGGCAUUCCUGAGAUUACAACUCAUGAGUGUUUUCUAACAUGGACAGGCAACAAGUAAGUAUUUUCCUACAUGAAUCACAUUACUUUAUUGCAGUGGCCAGUCUCAAUCAACACAUGAAUGCUGUGGUUCUGUUCCCCUUGCACCCUCUAUCACAGCCAAAUCAAGAUCUCCACUGAAAGUCAGAACACUGUCUUGCAGCUUAGUUUUCAAAAUUUUCAUAUGUCAGAAUGACAUCUCACAUAUGUAUGACAAGUAAUAUUAUACCACACAUCAUUACAUGUAUGAAAGCAUGAAUAUGUUCUAUUUACAAAUCCUAACCAUGAAAAAUGAAACCACAAUUACCCCAGUUUUCAUUUCUGAGACAGGCAAUUGAGAAAACUUUAUUCCAUGUGGACUAUGUGGAUUUGUGUGUAAAGAAAAUACUAUUGUUUUACUUGCAGAAAAACCCUGAAAAGCUUCCAAGGACUUUAAAAACAGUCUUGCUUUCAGCUACCUUAGAUCCUAUAGGAAUAGGAAGAAGAGAAGACUUUUCUUGUGCCAUUGUGAGUACAUCAGCAAGAUCAGCACAAAACUGUUCCCAUUUCUCUGGAUGACUCAGAAGAGCUGGAAGAUUAAUUUGAUAACCCAGGAAGACUCAUUCAGUCCAUGUUUGCAGGCCAGCCUGGCAUAGAAUGAAAUACAGAAUCUUCUCUGAAACUCCUGCGUCUCCCAGAGUAAAUCUGUGAGGAUUUGUAACACUCCAUUGCCCAUCCACCUCUGUGCCCUUGCCCCCAUCAGCAGGGCCUCCUCAGGCAGCCACCUGGGAAGCAAUGUAGGAGCCUAUACAGACAGUUAUACAGCCAAUAUUUGUAUUACAUCUGCUGGCAAAACUUGCCACAGACCCAAGAUCUCCUCCAUGACUGUUCACUGCAGACCAUGUCAGCCAAGGUGGUACAGUCAAGCACCUCUCUCCAGGUUUUACAGCCAUUGAGGAAGAACAGGCUCAUAAACAAUACACUCUCUGCAUAUAUAAAUGCUGUUAUUUGUGUCUCCUGCCUAUUAAAAGGUGUAUCUUUUUUCUUCAUGACCCAAGAAGAAAAAAAAUCAUGCACACAAAUAAAGAAUAUACAUGUAUCUUUUUAAAAAUAUAAAUCAGAAGAUCCUUUCUGUUCGAAUCAGGUUUUGUCCCAUAACACAGGAAAUAAGAGUUUUUCCAGAAAAUGGUGCCAUGCAUAUUUCUAAUACUUAUUAUCCUGACUGAGAUGAUGAAGCUACUUUUGUUCUCCAUACAAAAGUGGGUGCAGUGAAAAUUGUGUGUGACUUGCUAGCACAUUUGUGUUUUGAAGGGUUAUUGAUGUGAAUAGCAGGUGAAGUGUAAAGAAAGGCUCCAGCUGUUUCUUGUUUUGAAUUCUUCCUUGGUGCAAGCACCAAAAGUAAAUACUGGAAUGGGAAACGUUAAACUCAUAAGUGUCUCUGUUACACUCAAAAAGAAAAGAAUUAAACCCCUUUUCUGUUGCUGUGCUGUGCGGUUCUGCAACAUUGAUUUUAUUCACACAUAGUGCACAGCUGUUUAUUGAGUCUGACCCUUGAGGGGAAGCUGAAGAAACACUGGAAAUGAAACCACUCAGAAAAAGACAGUUUUCCUUUCCUGUUUACUUGAUAGAUAUUUUUUAUCUAAAAAAAAAAAAAAAAAAAAAAAAAA